GCACAAGCGGUGGAACAUGUGGUUUAAUUCGACGCAAAGCGAAAAACCUCACCAAGGUUUGACAUACCAAUCGUAUCCCUAAGAAACUAGGGAGUCAGUUCGGCUGGAUUGGAUACAGGUGUUGCAUGGCUGUCGUCAGCUCGUGUCGUGAGAUGUCGGGUUAAGUCCUUUAACGAGCGCAACCCUCAUUGCAUGUUAAUUUUUCAUGCGAGACUGCCCUGGUUAACAGGGAGGAAGGUGGGGAUGACGUCAAGUCAGCAUGGCCCUUACACCUUGGGCUACACACGUGUUACAAUGGCCGGUACAAUAAGUCGCAAUACCGUAAGGUGGAGCUAAUCUAUGAAAACCGGUCCCAGUUCGGAUUGGGGGCUGAAACUCGCCCCCAUGAAGUCGGAAUCGCUAGUAACCGUGAAUCAGCACGUCACGGUGAAUACGUUCCCGGGUCUU
RNAcentral lists this ribosomal RNA (447 nucleotides) under uncultured bacterium. RNAcentral's name for it is "bacterial SSU rRNA". It matches the Rfam family "Bacterial small subunit ribosomal RNA", at positions 923 to 1382 of the family's 1533-position model. The record is from RNAcentral.